This 417-nucleotide long non-coding RNA is filed under the name Homo sapiens (human). RNAcentral describes it as "HSALNT0211199". Lineage: Eukaryota; Metazoa; Chordata; Mammalia; Primates; Hominidae. The record is from RNAcentral.
AAUGGAAUGCAUCAUUUUGACAUCUCUGCAGAUCUGUAUUCCGAAAGGCUAGAAUUGUUCCUAACAAAAGAAGCAGGUACUCAGAUAUCCACGAAGUCCUCCUCAUCUCACACCAUCGUUUCUCUCACUGGGCACAAUCCAGCUUUAAAGAAUUCAACACUUACUGGUCUUCAGAGGACUGUCAGCAAUGACAGCAACCAGGGAUGCUGACAUGUCUUGUUGUUUACAAAGGAUGAGCACAAGGCCUUUUGGAUAACCUGAUAAGCCCUGCAACUCCUCUCUCCCUGUUCCUCACCUCUCUGGACCAGCUGCCUUUGUGUGGAAGGGAAUCCUGGGAAGUUGGACCUCCUUUCUCCUUUUCCUUUUGCUGCCUUUCAGUGUUGAAUACAUGGAAGGAAGGAAAGUAUUUGGUUCAAU